CAACCAUCAAGCCCCCGGCUUGUGUUGGGGACCUGCGGCUGCCGCAGGCCCUGAAAACCAGUGGCGGGCUCGCUAGUCACUCCGAGCGUAGUAAUACAUCUCGCUCAGGGCGUGCUGCGGGUUCCGGCCGUUAAAAGCCUUAUUUACCCAA
RNAcentral lists this unclassified non-coding RNA (151 nucleotides) under uncultured Chaetomium. RNAcentral describes it as "sequence contains ITS2". The record is from RNAcentral. Lineage: Eukaryota; Fungi; Ascomycota; Sordariomycetes; Sordariales; Chaetomiaceae.